Transfer RNA from Pleurotus ostreatus PC15, 84 nucleotides. It matches the Rfam family "tRNA". From Rfam's summary of the family: Transfer RNA (tRNA) molecules are approximately 80 nucleotides in length. Their secondary structure includes four short double-helical elements and three loops (D, anti-codon, and T loops). Lineage: Eukaryota; Fungi; Basidiomycota; Agaricomycetes; Agaricales; Pleurotaceae. The record is from Rfam.
GCCUUCUUGGCCAAGCGGUAAGGCGUUGCACUUGUAUAACACAAGGUUAUGCAAAGAUCACUCGUUCGAAUCGGGUAGGAGGCA